UUGGAGGGCAAGUCUGGUGCCAGCAGCCGCGGUAAUUCCAGCUCCAAUAGCGUAUAUUAAAGUUGUUGCAGUUAAAAAGCUCGUAGUUGAAUUUCGGGAUCAAUUUAUUGGUCGUGCCAACGGUACGCACUGGUACAAUUGGUUUCUCCCUUCUGACGAAGCAUGAUGUCAUUAAUUUGAUGUCGUGGGGAAUCAGGACUGUUACUUUGAAAAAAUUAGAGUGUUUAAAGCAGGCUUUGGCUUGAAUACAUUAGCAUGGAAUAAUGAAAUAGGACGUUUGAUCUUAUUUCGUUGGUUUCUAAGAUCGACGUAAUGAUUAAUAGGGAUAGUUGGGGGCAUUAGUAUUCAAUUGUCAGAGGUGAAAUUCUUGGAUUUAUUGAAGACUAACUACUGCGAAAGCAUUUGCCAAGGAUGUUUUCAUUAAUCAAGAACGAAAGUUAGGGGAUCGAAGACGAUCAGAUACCGUCGUAGUCUUAACCAUAAACUAUGCCGACUAGGGAUCGGAUGAUGUUAAUUUUUUAAUGACUCAUUCGGCGCCUUACGGGAAA
RNAcentral lists this ribosomal RNA (548 nucleotides) under uncultured Glomeromycotina. RNAcentral describes it as "SSU rRNA". It matches the Rfam family "Eukaryotic small subunit ribosomal RNA", at positions 548 to 1097 of the family's 1831-position model. The record is from RNAcentral. Lineage: Eukaryota; Fungi; Glomeromycota.